CACAGAGGGUUUGGAUUAUGGCUCAGAUUGAACGCUGGCGGGAUGUUUACACAUGCAAGUCGAACGGCACACUUGACUUCGGUCUGGUGGCGAGUGGCGAACGGGUGAGUAAUGUAUCGGAACGUGUCAGCAGUAGCGUAGAUAACCAUUGCGAGCGAAGCAUUACCGCAUACUGGCUCUUCGGGGGAAAGUGGGGACCUUCUGGCCUCGCACUAUUAGAGCGGCCGAUAUCGGAUUAGCUAGUUGGUGGGUAACGCUCACCAAGGCGAUGAUCCGUAGCCAGUUUCGUGAUAUGACGACCAGCCACACUGGACUGAGACACGGCCCAGACUCCUACGGGAGGCAGCAGUGGGAAUUUUGGACAAUGGGGGAACCUGAUCCAGCCAUCCCGCGUGGGUGCGAUGAAGGCCUUCUUCGGGUUGUAAAGCACUUUUGGCAGGAAAGAAACGGCACGGGAUAAUACUCCGCACCGACGGCACCUGCAGAAAUAAGCAACUGUUGGAAUCACGCCAGCAGCCGUAAUACGUAGGGUGCAAGCGUUAAUCGGAAUUACUGGGCGCAAUGCGCGCAAUGGUUCAAAAAAGAAAGAUGUGGAGUCCAAUUGUCUUUAAACUGCAUUGAACUGCCUGAGCUUGAGUGCGUCAGGAAAGGAACGAAGUGCGGCAGUGGAAUGCCGAUGUGCAGAACCAUCUCGAUAUGCAGUUCCUAGAUGUCACUGACGCUCAUGCACGAAAGCGUGGGGAGCAAACAGGAUUAGAUACCCUGGUAGUCCACGCCUCUAAACGAUGUCAACUAGCUGUUGGGGCCUUUGGGUCGGCAGCGCAGCUAAUUGCGUGAAGUUGACCGCCUGGGAGUACGGUCGCAAGAUUAAAACCCGCGCGAAUUGACGGGGACCCGCACAAGCGGUGGAUGAUGCGGGAUUAACGAUGCAACCGCGAAAAACCUUUACUCACCCUUGACAUGUCUGAAUCCCGGUGACGGGGAGUGCCUGCAAGAGAACCGAACACAGGUGCUGCAUGGCUGUCAGCUCGUGUCGUGAGAUGCUGGGUUAAGUCCCGCAACGAGCGCAACCCUUGCUGCUUUAGUUGCUACGAAAGGGCACUCUAAUGAGACUGCCGGUGACAAACGGAGGAAGGCAGACAUCGUCAAGUCCUCAGCGGCCCUUAUGGGUAGGUCACACGUCAUACAAUGGUCGGGACGAGGGUCACGCCAACCGCGAGGGGGAGCCAAUCCCAGAAACCCGAUCGUAGUCCGAUCGCAGCCUGGCAAACUUCACUGCGUGUCGGAAUCGCCAGUAAUCGCGGAUCAGCAUGUCGCGGUGAAUACGUUCCCGGGCUCCGGUAUUACACCACCCGUCACACCAUGGGAGGCUUUACCAGAAGUGGUUAGCUCAACCGUAAGGAGGGCGGAUACCACGGUAGGAUUCUCGAUGACUGUGCAGUUCGUAACAAGGUAG
RNAcentral lists this ribosomal RNA (1456 nucleotides) under uncultured Bordetella sp. Its description in RNAcentral is "partial 16S-23S ribosomal RNA intergenic spacer". It matches the Rfam family "Bacterial small subunit ribosomal RNA". Lineage: Bacteria; Pseudomonadati; Pseudomonadota; Betaproteobacteria; Burkholderiales; Alcaligenaceae. The record is from RNAcentral.